RNAcentral lists this ribosomal RNA (1918 nucleotides) under Shigella flexneri. Its description in RNAcentral is "partial 23S ribosomal RNA". It matches the Rfam family "Bacterial large subunit ribosomal RNA", at positions 13 to 1921 of the family's 2925-position model. Lineage: Bacteria; Pseudomonadati; Pseudomonadota; Gammaproteobacteria; Enterobacterales; Enterobacteriaceae. The record is from RNAcentral.
AAAGGGCGCACGGUGGAUGCCUUGGCACUAGGAGCCGAUGAAGGACGGGACUAACACCGAUAUGCUUCGGGGAGCUGUAAGUAAGCUUUGAUCCGGAGAUUUCCGAAUGGGGAAACCCACUGUUCGUAAUGGAACAGUAUCUUUACCUGAAUACAUAGGGUACUGAAGGCAGACCCGGGGAACUGAAACAUCUAAGUACCCGGAGGAAGAGAAAGCAAACGCGAUUUCCUGAGUAGCGGCGAGCGAAACGGAAUUAGCCCAAACCAAGAGGCUUGCCUCUUGGGGUUGUAGGACACUCAACAUGGAGUUACAAAGGAACGGGGUAAAUGAAGCGAUCUGGAAAGAUCCGUCGAAGAAGGUAAAAACCCUGUAGUUGAAACUUCGUUCCCUCCUGAGUGGAUCCUGAGUACGGCGGGACACGAGAAAUCCCGUCGGAAGCAGGGAGGACCAUCUCCCAAGGCUAAAUACUCCCUAGUGACCGAUAGUGAACCAGUACCGUGAGGGAAAGGUGAAAAGCACCCCGGAAGGGGAGUGAAAUAGAUCCUGAAACCGUGUGCCUACAAGUAGUCAAAGCCCGUUAAUGGGUAAUGGCGUGCCUUUUGUAGAAUGAACCGGCGAGUUACGAUUUCAUGCGAGGUUAAGUUGAUGAGACGGAGCCGCAGCGAAAGCGAGUCUGAAUAGGGCGAAUGAGUAUGAGGUCGUAGACCCGAAACCAGGUGAUCUACCCAUGUCCAGGGUGAAGUUCAGGUAACACUGAAUGGAGGCCCGAACCCACGCACGUUGAAAAGUGCGGGGAUGAGGUGUGGGUAGCGGAGAAAUUCCAAUCGAACCUGGAGAUAGCUGGUUCUCUCCGAAAUAGCUUUAGGGCUAGCCUCAAGAUGAGAGUAUUGGAGGUAGAGCACUGAUUGGACUAGGGGCCCCCAACGGGUUACCGAAUUCAGUCAAACUCCGAAUGCCAAAUACUUAUUCUUGGGAGUCAGACUGCGAGUGAUAAGAUCCGUAGUCGAAAGGGAAACAGCCCAGACCACCAGCUAAGGUCCCAAAGUAUACGUUAAGUGGAAAAGGAUGUGGAGUUGCUUAGACAACCAGGAUGUUGGCUUAGAAGCAGCCACCAUUUAAAGAGUGCGUAAUAGCUCACUGGUCGAGUGACUCCGCGCCGAAAAUGUACCGGGGCUAAACGUAUCACCGAAGCUGUGGAUUGACACCGUAUGGUGUCGAUGGUAGGAGAGCGUUCUAAGGGCGUUGAAGUCAGACCGGAAGGACUGGUGGAGCGCUUAGAAGUGAGAAUGCCGGUAUGAGUAGCGAAAGAAGGGUGAGAAUCCCUUCCACCGAAUGCCUAAGGUUUCCUGAGGAAGGCUCGUCCGCUCAGGGUUAGUCGGGACCUAAGCCGAGGCCGAAAGGCGUAGGCGAUGGACAACAGGUUGAUAUUCCUGUACCACCUAUACAUCGUUUGAACGAUGGGGGGACGCAGAAGGAUAGGGUAAGCGCGCUGUUGGAUAUGCGCGUCCAAGCAGUUAGGCCGGAAACGAGGCAAAUCCCGUUUCCAUUAAGGCGGAGCUGUGAUGGCGAGGGAAAUAUAGUACCGAAGUUCCUGAUUCCACGCUGCCAAGAAAAGCCUCUAGUGAGAUGUAAGGUGCCCGUACCGCAAACCGACACAGGUAGGCGAGGAGAGAAUCCUAAGGUGUGCGAGAGAACUCUCGUUAAGGAACUCGGCAAAAUGACCCCGUAACUUCGGGAGAAGGGGUGCUUUUUAGGGUGAAUAGCCCAGAAAAGCCGCAGUGAAUAGGCCCAGGCGACUGUUUAGCAAAAACACAGGUCUCUGCGAAGCCGCAAGGCGAAGUAUAGGGGCUGACACCUGCCCGGUGCUGGAAGGUUAAGGGGAGAGGUUAGCGCAAGCGAAGCUUUGAACCGAAGCCCC